GUCAGGAUGGCCGAGCGGUCUAAGGCACUGCGUUCAAGUCGCAGUCCACUCUGUGUGGGCGUGAGUUUGAAUCCCUCUUCUGACA
This is a non-coding RNA of Trichonephila clavipes, 85 nucleotides long. The record is from the annotation of a GenBank genome assembly. Lineage: Eukaryota; Metazoa; Arthropoda; Arachnida; Araneae; Nephilidae.